RNAcentral lists this transfer RNA (64 nucleotides) under Hexagonia terminalis. RNAcentral describes it as "tRNA-Leu". Lineage: Eukaryota; Metazoa; Arthropoda; Insecta; Coleoptera; Carabidae. The record is from RNAcentral.
AUUAUUUUGGCAGAUUAGUGCAAUGAAUUUAGAAUUCAUAUAUGUAAUUUUUUUACAGAUAAUA